Molecule: unclassified non-coding RNA, 343 nt
Filed under: soil metagenome
Description: partial contains 5.8S ribosomal RNA, internal transcribed spacer 2, and large subunit ribosomal RNA
Rfam family: 5.8S ribosomal RNA (bases 1-120)
Source: RNAcentral
GAUGAAGAACGCAGCGAAAUGCGAUAAGUAAUGUGAAUUGCAGAAUUCAGUGAAUCAUCGAAUCUUUGAACGCACAUUGCGCCCGCUAGUAUUCUGGCGGGCAUGCCUGUCCGAGCGUCAUUUUAACCCUCAAGCCCCCGGGCUUGGUGUUGGGGAUCGGCGAGCCUCCGCGCCCGCCGUCCCCUAAAUCUAGUGGCGGUCUCGCUGUAGCUUCCUCUGCGUAGUAGCACACCUCGCACUGGGAAACAGCGCGGCCACGCCGUUAAACCCCCAACUUCUGAACGUUUGACCUCGGAUCAGGUAGGAAUACCCGCUGAACUUAAGCAUAUCAAUAAGCGGAGGA